This is a non-coding RNA of Ictidomys tridecemlineatus (thirteen-lined ground squirrel), 1154 nucleotides long. The record is from RefSeq and is a predicted model, not a curated record. Lineage: Eukaryota; Metazoa; Chordata; Mammalia; Rodentia; Sciuridae.
GAUUAAUUGGUUCCCAGAACAAAGAAUGCAGCAAGAUAAUCCCUACUUAGGGCAAGCGGGUAGGGGUGAGACGCACCUGUGCAAGUGUUUACUUCAUCUCCAGAGAGGUGAUCCAAGUGUCAGCGCAGGGAUCCUGGUUUGGUGUCUUCCAACUCUUAGCCACUCCCUAGUUCUAGCAGCUGCUUGAGUGUCUGCCCAAUUUCUGGAAGGGAAACCUGAAACUUCACCCUCAGUUAUAAACCCAAGUUGACAUAACAGGGAACUAAAUUCAAGAAAAGCCGAAUAACUUGGUCACUCCACUUGUAUGUGACAGAAUCACCAUUCUUGGUUUUCCAUUUUUUUAUUUCAAGAGAAAUGAAAACUCACCAUUCUCAUGGACCCGGACUUCCUCAGUUGCUUUGAGGCCAAGAAGGGCCCAAAACAAUAACUCUGAAACCUACAGAUAAAAGGGAAAGGCCUCUAUCACAGACCUUCCGAAACGAUAGCAUCAUUUUUAAGAGUUAUUGCAUUUUAUACUUGCAAAAGAACACGGUGACAUUUGGCAAAGACAUCGUACUGGACAUUGUAUCCCAGAAUGCUGGAUGAGGUCAGGUUGAAACACCUGACAGAGUGGAGCAGCCGCCUCGUUCCUCCAUCCUGCCUCAGACCUGUUCUUCCCUGCCCCCACUCCAUCCAUGGUGAUGCCUCCCACAGCUACCAUAGCACACACUUCUGUUCUUGUCAAGCAGCCAUGUCACUGGAUACUCUGGGGGUCUGACUUCAUGGCUUGUUUGUGAUCUCCCUCCUGGAGCAAGAAUUUUCACUCCAAAUUCCUACACGGGGAACUUGAGAAUAUUCUCCCCCUUGCCAUAGUGGUAAAGAUGGCCCCACUUCCUCAGUGUUCCCAUCACUUACACAGUGGCAACAGGAACUCACUCACCUUCUGAGUGAAUAAGAAACCUACAUAAGACAAUGAGCAUGAGAAACAUAAAUGCAGUUUUCCUCUGUGCCAGCAGGUUUUUAUUUUCUCAGGGUAAUUAGGGCAAUUUUUCAUGCAUCUCUGAAUCUGCAGACCUUAGAAAAAAUACAUGGAAAAAUAGUAUUUAAGACACAGUCUAGCAAUCUGUAUACGGGGUAAAGUUGGGAGUUCAUAACCCACUUGAAUCAAACUGUGA